This 313-nucleotide ribosomal RNA is filed under the name Scymnus takasago. Its description in RNAcentral is "LSU rRNA". It matches the Rfam family "Eukaryotic large subunit ribosomal RNA", at positions 666 to 944 of the family's 3401-position model. Lineage: Eukaryota; Metazoa; Arthropoda; Insecta; Coleoptera; Coccinellidae. The record is from RNAcentral.
CCAAGGAGUCUAGCGUGUGCGCGAGUCAUUGGGAUAACACUAAACCUAAAGGCGUAAUGAAAGUAAAAGUUCGUCUAGCACGAACAGAGGGAAGACGGUCGAUUCAUUACGAACCGGCCCGCAUUCCCGGGGCGUCUCGUUCUCAUUGCGAGAAGAGGCGCACCAAGAGCGUACACGCUGGGACCCGAAAGAUGGUGAACUAUGCCUGGUCAGGACGAAGUCAGGGGAAACCCUGAUGGAGGUCCGUAGCGAUUCUGACGUGCAAAUCGAUCGUCGGAACUGGGUAUAGGGGCGAAAGACUAAUCGAACCAUC